ACCUCCGCCAGGCCAGGAGCUGCUGCUGGGUGCUCCCAGGGUGAACCCACAGAGCUGCGGCUUGCCUUCAUCCCUGCAGGUCCCCUGGGAACACCCCAGCACCCCAACAGGCCUCAGCAGCAGGAGUCCGAGCCCCCAGCUUUUUGUAUUUAAGUGGUUUAAGAGUGGAGGCAGCGCGUGCCCUGCAGCACCGGGUGCUGGCGCUGGAGGUGGCUGCGUGGCGUGGGGCUGGUGGGCACGGCAAGGAGGAGGGAGAGCUGUGAGUAGGUUAGAAAGGGCACCUCUUCUCCUCCCUUCACCUAUCAACGAGCAGUUUGGGUCUAAUUACGUCGGACAAGCAUUAAAGUCAGGAGCUGAGAGCCCAGCAAGAUGGAUGGGUGGGUGCGCUGCUCCGCACCUUGGCUUUGUGUCCCACCGCAGGAGGCGUGCAGCAGUCUGGGCUGAUUUACUUUAGAUUUGAGCUGGGAGUAAAUUGCAAGACAUGAAUCAUCUUGACGCAGACACUCCGGAGAUGGAUUACCUGGUUUGGCAGCUCGCUCUUCUCUUGCCACAGCCUUCCUUGCUUGAUGCCUUUCAGUUCAGGGUUUCAUCUCCAAGGCACAGGAGAGCUCCUGCUCCGCGGUCCUGACCCCGGCACACCUUGGAGCCCUGAGUGCUGCUGGCCCUGAGCAGGAAUCCCCACCAAACCCAGGCCUGCGGCUGGCCUGGCCACGCUCCCCCCUUCACCCAGCACUGCCAAACCGACCAGAAGUAGCUUCA
Oxyura jamaicensis (ruddy duck) is the source of this 759-nucleotide long non-coding RNA. RefSeq lists it as uncharacterized. The transcript has 2 exons. The record is from RefSeq and is a predicted model, not a curated record. NCBI's taxonomy places the organism in Eukaryota, Metazoa, Chordata, Aves, Anseriformes, Anatidae.